UACGAAGGGUGCAAGCGUUAAUCGGAAUUACUGGGCGUAAAGCGCGCGUAGGUGGUUCAGUAAGUUGGAAGUGAAAUCCCCGGGCUCAACCUGGGAACUGCUUUCAAAACUGCUGAGCUAGAGUACGGCAGAGGGUGGUGGAAUUUCCUGUGUAGCGGUGAAAUGCGUAGAUAUAGGAAGGAACACCAGUGGCGAAGGCGACCACCUGGACUGAUACUGACACUGAGGUGCGAAAGCGUGGGGAGCAAACAGG
This 253-nucleotide ribosomal RNA is filed under the name uncultured bacterium. Its description in RNAcentral is "partial 16S ribosomal RNA". It matches the Rfam family "Bacterial small subunit ribosomal RNA", at positions 524 to 776 of the family's 1533-position model. The record is from RNAcentral.